Molecule: long non-coding RNA, 381 nt
Filed under: Parus major (Great Tit)
Lineage: Eukaryota; Metazoa; Chordata; Aves; Passeriformes; Paridae
Description: lncRNA (ENSPMJG00000016443.1)
Source: RNAcentral
GUUCAGUGCAUGAGGAGCAAAGAGUGACAAGAGUGAAGAUUGUGGAUGGAUGGCUUUUGGUCGAAAACUGAAGAGCUUGGAGCUAUAACAGCACUUUGAAGAGCCACCUCUGGGAUAUCUGCUCAACCAUUUCAGCAGAAAAUCUGAUUCCUAAGGCAGUCUCUGACGUGGGUUUCAAAGGACCCGUCUUUGCAAGCCUCCACUUCAAUCUGUUUCUUUUUCCAAAGGAAUAUAGUAUAUUAAUGUUGAAGUGAACUGAAAUUAAAAAGGAAGAUGUGUCAAAUACUCUCAAGCUUCUUCAGGCAUUUUUCAAUCUAGGUUUUUUAUCCACCUCUGCCUUUUCAAGUGAAAAAAAAAAAAAUUGUCAUUAUCUCUUUUCUG